AGAGUUUGAUCAUGGCUCAGGAUGAACGCUAGCGGCGUGGAUAAGGCAUGCAAGUCGAACGCUCCAGCUUGCUGGAGAGUGGCAGACGGGUGAGUAAUACAUAGGAAUCUACCUCGAAGUCUGGAAUAACAUCGAGAAAUCGGUGCUAAUACCAGAUGGUCCCGCAAGGGUAAAGAUUUAUCGCUUCGAGAAGAGCCUGUGCACUAUCAGCUUGUUGGUGAGGUAAAAGCUCACCAAGGCUAUGACGGUUAGGAGGCCCGAGAGGGUGUUCUCCCACAUUGGCACUGAGACACUGGCCAAACUCCUACGGGAGGCAGC
This 318-nucleotide ribosomal RNA is filed under the name uncultured bacterium. RNAcentral describes it as "bacterial SSU rRNA". It matches the Rfam family "Bacterial small subunit ribosomal RNA", at positions 8 to 352 of the family's 1533-position model. The record is from RNAcentral.